RNAcentral lists this unclassified non-coding RNA (211 nucleotides) under plant metagenome. Its description in RNAcentral is "partial contains small subunit ribosomal RNA, internal transcribed spacer 1, and 5.8S ribosomal RNA". The record is from RNAcentral.
UUUCCGUAGGUGAACCUGCGGAAGGAUCAUUCAUAAUAAAGUGUUUUAUGGCACUUUUUAAAAAUCCAUAUCCACCUUGUGUGCAAUGUUAGAUCUCGUCAAUCUUGGCGAGAUUUUUAUACAUCAACUCAUUUUUUAACUAAUUUGUCUGAAAAAUAUUAUGAAUACUUAAUUCAAAAUACAACUUUCAACAACGGAUCUCUUGGCUCUC